Long non-coding RNA from Ovis aries (sheep), 1631 nucleotides. NCBI's taxonomy places the organism in Eukaryota, Metazoa, Chordata, Mammalia, Artiodactyla, Bovidae. The record is from Ensembl.
CACGGGACCAUUAAAGGCAGCCUGGCCAGGCUUCCCCACCACCCCCCCGAGUCGCCCCCUCCAGUCUUGGACGGCAGUGACAGACGGCCCACAACACCCCCCUGACCCUGGCUGCAGGGCUCUGCUCAUUGAUCCAGAGAUGCUCUUUCCUUUUCCUCAGGCGCUUCUCUGAAGGAUGGAAAAAUCGAUGCCCGCGGAUGAGCGGGUGCAAAGCAGGUGCAGACAGCAGCGCCGGGGAGAAGGCCAAGGGCAGGGGAGUCAGGCGCCUGGGGUCCUGCGGCUGUUCCCCAUCUCCUAGGACACACUCCGAGGCAGGUAGUUCUCCAGGACAGCUGUGAUUGGCUCAGCCAUUGCACCUCCACAUCACCAGAUGCUCCUGUACUUACUGAAGCAAAGAACAUAGAAUUGGAGAGUCUUGUACCAGCAAUUCAUACUGUUCUUGAUACUGUUCAUGGGGCUCUUGCUGCAAGAAUGCUGGAGUGGUUUACCAUACCCUCCUCCAGAUUUUAUUUUUCUUGGGUUCAAAAAUCACUGCAGAUGGUGACUGCAUCCAUGAAAUUAAAAGAUGCUUGCUCUUUGGAAGGAAAGCUAUGACAAACCCAGACAGAGUAUUAAAAAGCAAAGACAUCACUUUGCCAACAAAGGUCCACAUAGUCAAAGCUAUGGUUUUUCCAGUAGCCAUGUACAGAGGUAAGAGUGGGACCAUAAAGAAGAACAAGGGUCGAAGAGCUGAUGCUUUUGAACUGUAGUGCUGGAGAAGACUCUUGAGGGUCCCUUGGACUGCAAGGAGAUCAACUCAGUCAAUCCUAAAGGAAAUCAACCCUAAUAUUCUUUAAAAGGACUGAUGCUGAAGCUGAAGUACUUUGGCCACCUGAUGAGAAGAGCUGACUCAUUGGAUUAGACCCUGAUGCUGGGAAAGAUUGAAGGCAAAAGGAGAAGAGGGCAGCGGAGGAUGAGAUGGUUAGAGAGCAUCACCGACUCAAUGGUUAUGAAUUUGAGCAGACUGGAGGAGGAAGUGGCAACCCACUGCAGUAUUCUUGCCUGGAGAAUCCCAUGGACAAAGUAGGUGGGCUGUGGUCAAGGGGUGGCAAAGAGUUGGAUGCAACUUAGUGACUGAACAACAACAAGUACCAGCAAUUAAGUGCCUCUACCCAGAAGUGACAUACAUUAGCUCACAUAAACUGCCAAACCCAGUGGAAAGUGCAGUGCCAGGCUGGAAGGAGUACUGGAGAGACUGGCAAACAUUGCACAUGUCACCAUACACAUAUUAAGGAAACAUGCUUUUAUUGCUAAUUUUAGACUUUGGAGCCUGAAAGACCUGAAGAGUCAACUUGAAAAGUCAUUCAGCCUUGGCUAUGUGAUGAGUAGCAGUGGAGGUCAGUAUUAAAAAAAAAAAAAAAGUGAAAUCAGGACUUCCCUGGUGGUCCAGUGGUUAAGAAUCCACCUUGUAAGGCAGGGGAUUUGGGUUUGAUCCCAGGUCGGAGAACCAAGAAUCCAUAUGCCACAGAGCAACUAAGUCCACACACUGCAACUACUGAAGCCCUUGAGCUCUGGACCUCGAGCCACAACUAAAAAGUCUGUUCUUGGCAACAAGGGAUCCCACACGUUGCACUGAAGAUCCUGUGUGCUGC